UUGAUUUCAAUAGCAUUAUGAUACUAAUAAUGACUAUAAUGCACAUGUAAUUGUGGAUUAUGAAUUUUACAUUAGUAUCAUUGGUUUAGAGAAAUCAUCACAGUUUCAAGUAUAGAAACCAAGACUGAAGAUAGAAAAUUUACUUCAUGUGCUGUUGCCACUGUUUGCUCCUCUAGAAAAAUAAUAUUUAUCUCCUGCUGCUUUGAUGUUAUGGGUUCAAAAUCUUCUGAGAGGAAAGAUAGGAUAUUGUCUUCUCUGUGAAGACAGAGCUGAAUUAGAUCUUCAGGUAUGAACUGUCCUUGCACCUCCAUAUUCCCAAGUGAGAGCCCACUGGAGUGAGCUUUUUGAUCCGUUGUUUUGAUGCAGACCCUGGGUGAGUCCCAGCGAAGGCAUGUGACCUGACACAUGGAUUAAAAACAUAAUGAGAAUUCUUUGGGUUUAUGAUUCUGAAAUUGAAGAUGAAUCAACAUCUUGAUUGGAUACCUUCUGCUUUAUGACAUUGUCUAAGAAUAUGUAAGAUUUUCCACUUCCAUUAUAGUGCUUUGAAUUCAUAUUGUUAUUCUCUACCAUGCAGUAUUCUCUACUAUGGUUACUGCUACUUGAUAUACUUUUAAAAUUAAGUUAUUGGCAAAUUAGAAUCAGUUUAUUCACAGAAUCAUAAAAUAUGGAGAGUUGGAAGGGACCCACAAGGAUCGUCAAGUCCAACUCUUAGCCCUGCACAGGAUGUCUCCAAGAGUCACACCGUGUGCCUGAGAGCACUGUCCAAACACUUCUUGAACUCUAUCAGACUUGGUGCUGUGACCACUUUCCUGAGGAGCCUGUUCCAGUGCCCAACCACCCUCUGAGUGAAGAACCUUUUUCUAAUAUCCAAACUAAACCUCCUCUGCCACAACUUCAGGCCAUUCCAUCAGGUCCUGUCCCUGAUCACCACAGAGAAGAGAUCAGUGCCUGCCCCACCUCUUCCCCUCCUAUGGAAGUUGUAGACAACAGUGAGGUCUCCGCUCAGCAUCCUCUUCUCCAGACUGAACAGACCAAGUGACCUCAGCUGCUCCUCAUAUGGCUUCCCCUCGAGGCCCUUCACCAUCUUUGUUGCCCUCCUUUGGACACUCUCUAAGAGCUUAAUAUCCUUCUUAUAUUGUGGCACCCAAAACUGCACACAAUAUUCAAGGUGAGGCUGCACCAGUGCAGAGCAGAGCAGGACAAUCCCCUCCCUCGACCAGCUGGUGAUGCUUUGCCUGAAGUUCCCCCGGACACAAUUGGCCCUCCUGGCUGCCAGGGCACUGGUGACUCAUUGUGAUGUAUUAACUGCUUUUAAGUUUCUCCCUGGCCUUUUGGGUACAGUUUUGCUUUAUAAGGCUUUACAUUGUUCAGGGCUUGCUGCCAUAAAGAACAACCUGUUUCUUCCAGUUAUUCAAUUAUUACUUAUUGUUUGUAUUAUUGUUACACUUAGUAGUAGUAGUAGAUAGAGGACAUGUUCUAGAUAUUGUACAGGGAAUGAAAAGAGGGACUCUGUCCCCUCCACAGAACCAAACUUAGAACAAGAGAAAAUAGAUGAUGCCACAGUCAGAGGCAUGUGAUCUGAGCAACCAUUGGUUUUCAGGAUAUGAAAUGAGAGACUUCAAGAUUUACAUGUAGAAAUUCCUCUUUGCUCAUCUGAAAGUGACUUUUCUGCUGAAACUCUAUGAUGAAAAAAACCCCAAUCAUAAAAAAUGAACUGAAAUAUCUUUUUUUUCUGUUCUUGAAAAUUUUCUCCAGGUGGAAAAAUCGUUUGCAUCUGCUUCUUCCCCAGAGGACAGUGGGAUGAGAGAAGGCUGUUUGGGUCUUUCGACAUAGACGGCAAAAACACAAGGAUGCAUACUGUAAACUGUACAACUUUGGAUCAAUAUUGAGCAAUUUUAUAGUCAAUAUCCCUGAUUUUGGCUUCUUCCAAGUAAUACCUAAUAGCAAUUACUAAGCACGUCAUCAGUGCUUCUCAAAAUUUAGAGUUGACCUUGUUGUAGGUGACCUGUGUUAAAGGACAGCUUCCCUCUAGAAGCACUGUGAGAAGCUAUGUUAUAAACAAACUGAAACCAUGGCUCCCUGCUUAGCAUUUUAGAGGUAGGAUGUGGAAAAUGCCCUGACAUUGGUUCUCUUUCCUGCUCGUCAGAUGUCAGGUUACUGCUAUUGCUUUUACUUGGUGUUUGCUCUAUCUGCAGUUGGUCUGAAUUUGUUUGAGCACUGCAAACUAUUAGGCAGUGUGAACUUAAGGCAGAGUGACACUAAGUAGGGUUGAUUCUGUGUUAUUAGAAGAUUUCUUAUUGUUUGGGCACACUGUUGUGGAGUGAAAUCUCACCAUCUAUUUAAAAGUAGAGAUGCGAAAAGUUUAACAGCUUAGAGAGGCAUAAUUUUCUCCGAUUUGAUGUUUCAGUAUGUCCUAUUGCAGAAUUUGAUACUCGUUUGGCAUGAUUUCUCUGUGUGCAAUUUGUCAAAAUUACUUAAGCAAAACAUGAUUUGAAAGGGUGGCAUCUUAAGCAGAGGUGAAAAGGCAGCUCAGAAAUUCUUUCCUAACCCAAAUAUAGUUGCCCCAGGGUAGACCUGCCCUAAAACUGGAUGAUUAAUCUUCUCAAUGUCUUGAAGUCACCAGAAGUAUUCCUGCAUUUCACUGUGUAUAGAACGUAUUAACUGAAAUAUACUUUAAUAGCCUCCCUGGUUCAAGUAAAAAUAAUACUGCAAUUGUUUAUUACAAUCCAGAAUUAGAUUCGCACAGGUCUAGAGGAAUGUACAUUACGCCAUAUGGAAAGCUGCUCUUCUGAAAACCCCCUGCAUGUGGGUUUUCAGAAAAUGAGGACAUUUGGUGAAGUUUCAGCUUUCACAGAUGAAAGGUAAGAAAGAUUUACAUUUAUACAUAAACAUGCACAGCAUGAGGGAGGCUCGUCUGCCUCACAGCUUGCAGUAAGUGUUCAAAUGAAAAUGAACACUUCUUAGGAGUACUAUUCUGGGAAGUGCUGAGUCCAUGCUGCUCACUGCGCCAGCAGCCCCAAGAGCAAUACACUUCAGAUGUAUGCCACAGCAUGCUCUGGCUAACAAGCGUAUCCUCAGCUUCAAAGGGUUAUGGACUUCUACAAAUUUUUUAUUGAUCAUACAUGAAAGAGCUCAGUAGCUAGUGGUGGAGGUUCUACCAUAUUUCAGAAACAUCCAGGCCUAGAGAGAGACACAGGUUGGUAAUGAAACAAAAUUAGCACAAUUACUAACCCAACAAGAGGUGAGGAGGUGGGAAGAGUCUGGGCCAUAGAUCUGCCUUGUUCCUGGGAUAGAUGGGAGAAAUGGUGUUACAGAUUCAUGUGAUACUGUAGGAUCCUCUUAUUGGGAAUGGCAAGGAAUUUCUUGAUGGCAAUCAACACCUUUGAUUUUAGCUCAUAUCCGUUGGUGAGUUUUGCCCCUGCUAACAAUUCUGCUUCAUGGGUGUGUUCGGGGUUCUGGCACCUAAGCAUUCUCUAUGAGGUUUAUGUUCACUUCGAAUACUUGGGUAAUUUUUGGUUGACAAAGAACCAAACUGUGCCUGUUUGUUGAGCAGAAGAAUGAAUCCCUACCAGGGAGAAAACAAAUCCCCAAAACAGAUCCCCAGGAUGCUUCUUAGAGCCAUAAGCUGUUAGAGACAGUUAGGUGUUCUUGGGACAAUCUAAUGCCCUGUUAGAGGGAAUCAAGAGAGUACUAAAAAGAAAUCACAAGGCUACUGUCUUUGCCCCCUCUAGGUCUUACUCAAAAGGGAAUCACUUGGUCUCAUAUUUGCUGCUUUUUAGUAGGUAGCAGUGGGACUUAAGAGACCUGACAUCAGUGAGGCCUUGAGUUUAGUCUUACCUCCUUCUGCAAGGGGCAAUGCUAACCAAAGAUUGGAAUCUUGCAGCUUGGGCUUGGCUUUGCCAUCUUUAUAACAAUUUAUAGGCAUUUUGCCAAAAAAUUAGCAUAACGUACCAGGACUGCCUCUAGGCCUAUUGCUGCAUGAGCAAAGCCUCUUUAUCUGCUUCUCCAAGUUUGUUGCUGAAGGCUACAGUUGCAGGAGGUAAUGGUUUGCAUGAGGUUGUUUGUACCCUGUUGUUUGAAUAGAGCUUGCAGUGAGCCUGAACGAAACUUGCUGUUCUUGCCUCGUUUUCUGUUAAAACAUUUUCAGAUCAUCUUCUAGUAUUACUGCAAGUAUAUUUGCAUCACACUUAAUCAGUAUGAUUAAUCUACCAUUUUUCACAGGUGACAAUCUUCUGUAUUAGGAAAAUGCCGGGUCCUUGUUUAGAUGUCACAACAUUUCUUCCCAUAUCAGUUCCUAUUUUGAGGAUUAAUUAAAUUUGAUUUAAAUGAUGUCAUACCCUGGGAUUAACAUUCUUUUUAUUUGAGAGUAGAUAAAUAUUUCCUUCUUUAAUGUGAUUUAUUGUUGGGCUGAGCAAGAGUUAUGUGCCUGGAAGAAGGUUAAAGUUUAAAACAAGUAAAUAUGCAGCCAUCUGCUCAAUUGCUUCUCGUCCAUAUAGGGCAGAAAUUUGUAAGAUACCCAGUUUAUCUUACUGGGUAAGAUAAAUUUAACUAGAUUAAGACCAUGUCUUUGCUGUAGCUAAUAGUAGAGUAUCUGAGCAGGUUUAAAACUAGAUUGCUCAAGUACCACUGGCAGCUUCAAUGUGCCAGCAUGGUACUCCAUCUGAGCUGUGAAACCUGGUGGCAUGACUUUGGGGAAGCUCUAAUGACUCACGGGGUUUCCCCACUGCUCUGUUGCAUGCCACCAACACCCAGUGCCAGUCAGACUGCUCAUGCAUGUACCUGAACUAUCUACUAGGCCUUCAAGGAGUCUGAGAGGGAAUUUGUUGUCUUUGGGAUCACCCCUCAUUUUGGUGUAUUUCAGUCUCUACUUUUCCAGCUCCCCUCAAAUCACACAGAAAUAUGCUAGGUUCUUUCUUUUUUGUUUACCUACAAAGCUUUCAGGUUGCUCACUGAGUCAAGUUCUUCAGUGAGUCUCACACUCACAUUUGCUUGUCUUGAAAUGGAUUCUGGUUUGGGUUCAAACUUAUUGUCACAGUUUUUCUCCACAAGCCUGCAAGGAAAAGUUUAAGGAAGCUCACAAGUGACACUCUGUAAAGCUCUUUAUGGACUUUUUGAGUACAGUUUAUAACUGUAAAAUGUAGCAUCUGAAAAUGAAAUUUUAUGUGAACGUAUUAUUUGAGUAUCCCGAGUCAGAAUGUUUAUGUUGUUUAUGUUUAUAUUUAUAAAAAGGUGAAAAAUGUAAGUGAUUACUGGUGCUUUAUAGGUAGUACCUAUGAAGAUACCAAAAUAAAUCUAGGAGCAAUAACGUAUUGGUGGCAAAUGACUCCUCUCUUUUCCUGUGGUCCCCCAGCUCAGGCUUUCUGACAGUGGGAUACCAUGAUGUGUGCUAGAAAGCUGAUAAAACCUCUGACAAUUAGGUCUGUGCUGUUGGCAACACCACUGAUCUUUGCACAUCAAACAGCAUUUUACACUGAGCAGAUAUUGUCACAAAAUCUUUACUUUGAAGGUGCCCAGUUCAGCUGAAAGACUGGCUUCAUGGUGCAGCUUCUCAUUGUUUGUUCCUGGCCCAAUGGCACUCAUACUUCACUACUCUGUUUUGGGGGAUGUGGAGGAAACUGAGCCUUUUGUGAAUUUUGACCUUUUUUUCUUUUUUAUUCCAUUAUUGUAAACUGCAAUAACUCCAGCUGGUGGUGAAGUAAAGAUACCUUACAUGUGCUCAUGUAUUUUUGAGAGCUCCAGCUAUUGCUUGCGGGAGGUUUUAUACACACACAUAUGUAUAUAUCUAUAAAUAUAAAAUUAAAUACUUUCUGCAUAUUCAUCUGUGAACUCCUAAUAUUAUUCAUUGAGUAGCAAUCAAAUGAGGUAUAUUUUAAAAUGUCUUUUUUUUGUUUCACUGGGCACUGACAUCCAUGUAGUAUCAGGGAGGGUGGCAUUACUAACCCAUACCGUCUGAUGUUCUGCACCUGUUGCUUGUGCUAUUUUUUACUUUUGAUUCUCAAGAAGUGCAGUACUUAACAGAUAUAUUGAAAAAUUGUUUUACCUUGUCAGAUUUUUCUUCAUAUUUGAUGAAUAUGGUCUCACCAGGAAAGAUUUUGAUAGAGGGUUAUUUUUCCCUUCUGCUCAGCGAUUUUGUGCCAGGCUUUAGGAAGUGCUGAUCUGUUUUCUGUCCAGAAAAAGCACUGAAUGAUGGUAUUAAUAUAUAUAUAUAUAUAUACAUAUUAUAUAAGGGGAAAAUGAUCGCAGGGGAUACAUACUAGUGGCUACAGGAAGAGCUCUGUUCACUUCUAAUGCAACUGCUAAUGGGUUUUGCACUAAACUAAUACAAAGUUGUCACAGGCUUAUUGCAGUAACUUGCAAACCAGCCAAGGUCAUGUUUCUGUUAAUUCUGCACAUGCACUCUUUGCAGAAAACUGUUGCUAUAACCUAUCGGAUGGUGUUGAUCACAGGAGCUCUGAUGUGUGUCAUUUUUGAUGAAGUGUCCUCAACUGCUGUCACUUUUCAUGGCAUUGCUAUCUGCAACUGACAACUCCAAACAGUCACUGUGCAGAUUUGCUGCUACCUGGCUUCAUCCACAGCCCUGGCUAGGAAGCAGGUGCUCCCAAAUGGCAGCUUGGGGUGCUCAGAGAGACCGUCCCACCAUCACCUCAAUUUGUGCCAAGUUCAUAGAACACUUCCCACAUUGUUUUGACCUGGCCUAGCUGUUGAUGUGUCAGACAAACUCUGAUUUAGCACAGUCUAGGACUAUUAGGGACAUGGUUUAGUGGUGUACUUGACAGUGCUUAGUUAACAGUCUGACUCGAUGGUCUUAUGGUCUUUUCCAACCUAAAUGAUUCUAUGAUUCUAUAAUUCUGCUCCCUGCAGGCAGUUUGGAUGAGGCAUCUCUGUUUUAGUACAUGGAUGGAGGAGUAUAUCUGCAUGGAUAUAGACUGUGCUGAGCCAGUUGGUCAGAUAAGAGUUCCUCAGCUGUUUUAUUUCCUUGUACAGAUGUGCCGUAAUGGAUAAGCAAAUGAGACUCACUAUCUGUAUUUUAAUUAUUUUUCUGUUAUGUGAGUUUAGAAAAUAUUACAGAAAUGCUUUGAGAUAAAGUAUACAUUGAGAAAAGACUGUGAGAUCCUCAGAAAAUGUGGCUACCGGGACUACUUAAUCACUGUUGAUUAUCUGGAGCACUGUAUUUAAUGAGUCUCUGCCAUUUCUUCUCCUACUCUUCUCCAACUUAGCAUAAAUGACACUCAAAAAUCACGGAGAAGUAAUAAUAUAAUAUAUAGUAAUGCAGAGGAUGCAUAUAAGCCAUCCUCCCCAAAGUAAAUGAUAGGAGAAAAAUAACCAUGUCAUCAAGGGCAUGUAUUACGCUAUUGCAAGGCAUGUGAAUUUUUCAGUUGCUGUAGGAGUGAGUAAGCCUCUUGUUCCUACCCAUUGUUACUCUUUGUUACUUUAUUUGACACAAGGAAAAGCAUUUAUAAGGCCCUCUGAAAAAAUUAGACAGUGUACUACCAUCCAAAAAGCAUCUCUUCCUGCAUACAAGGAGUCCUUUUACUCUCUUCUGCAGUACUUUUAGCACAAAGCCUGACUAGAAGAAUACAGUGGGCUGUCCACCCCUGCUAUUCCAAAGGCUGUCCCUGACCAUGUAGCCACAGCCUGUGGUGUGCCAUAUGCUGUAGCUCAUACAUAGGUCUCAGUCAGCUUAAAAAACACAACACUUGAUUGUGCCAAGUGACAAUAUGUUUGCUCUGGGACUGUGCUCUGCUCUAUAUUGUCUGCCUUUCCAGUACAGUGCCUGGUCCAUGGACAAUGCCCCCUGAAAGACCUUUAUGACCCUGGCAUGAGCCUCCUGGGCCCCCGCUGCUGCUGAUGUAGUGUGUGAUGGAAGAUGCUGUCCUCUUCUGAAGGACAUUCUGGGCUUGUCCCACAGCCAGGCAUACUCCAGCUCCAUCAAGGUCAAAGGCAAUGCCACGCUCUGAGACAGGAAUAUUUAAAGCCCUAAGUGUGCUGGAGCUUGUUUAGUGUCAGAGGAACUCACACAUACUAGCAGCUAAAUAAAUACCAAACUAACUGCAGACUCACAAACAUGGAAAGUCCUUCCCAGCUGAGCUUUUAGUUAGGAAUCACCAUUCCCAAAAUAUCCAUCUAGUUUGUCCCAUGGGUCACCUCAGCUAUCUACUGUAUUAAUGAGACCACUCCAUUCCAAGUGAAAAUACGUGACAGGCAUCAGCAUCCUUUCCAAGGUAGAAGGCCAGGCUGAAUGUUUCCUUUCCAGAUUAAAGGUCAGAUGUGCCAGCAGAGAAUUGCAGGAGCCAGAGCAAGAUGCCACUAACCAGAUAUUUGAAGCAUCUUGGCUCAGGGUGAAGCACGGGAUGGAGGAAUAGGGAUCCAAAGUCCUUAUCUCUCCUGUCCCUCAAGAUGUCACAGCCCUGAGCUCCAGCUCUCUGUGUGCCAUGUGUGCUCUGCCUGUCAGCUUCCAUGGUCACUGUGCAGCAGGUUGCUCGUCCCUCAUACUUGGCAGGGACUAUCUGCUAUUAGCCCUUUUAAAGUGAUUAUUUUGAAGGGCAGCAGCUCAAGGAAGUGGAGUGGGGUUAAGAAUUUUAAAGAUGUUCACAAAAUUACCAGAAUCAGUUGUUGAAAAGCUGUGACUCAGAUUCCUACACCCCACAGCCCCACUCCUCUACCCCAAGUUACUGCUUUUUUCCUUUAAAACAGCAAUUUAUUUUUUCAUCUGGCCCUCCCUCCCCACUGCCUUCUCAUGUCUCCAUACUUUAUUCCUCCACGACAAGAGUUAGAAAUGGAAUCAAUUUACACUAAAGGCCAAACUCCUCACAUGACUGCUGGAACUGUGCUUUGAGUUGGAAAUGGGCAGGAGUUCAGAUAACAACCAGGCAGUCAAAACCAGGGAUAUCAGCCAGGAUUGAGGGUGAAGAGCCCACUCUCAGACCUCAGGCAAAUUCAGAGGGCAGAGGGAAAAGGCAAAAACAGGAAAUAAAAUGUAUUUUAGCAAGGUCAGAGAAGAAGGGCUGAGGAUGAGGGAGUCAAGGAACAAUUUUGUAGUUCUGUACAAAUCUGAGGAGACAUUAAGGAGCAGCAUCAAGAUGUUUGCCUUCCUGAGUCACUAGUGGGAUUGCCUAUGAAGCCAACCAACCAGCUCAUCAAAAGAAGACACUGGAGAAGUAAAAUACCCCUGUGGAGUUUUCAGUGUUUGAAGCCCUAAAUCCUGCUGAGAACCACAGAUAUCAGAUUUACAAUACAUCAUUUUAAAUAAGCUCUUUGCAUCAAGGGAUUCUUCAAACAGAGCAGCAGAUAUUACUAUGUAUAUUUUGCCUGUUUCUUUAUCAAAAAACAAAUAUAAAGCCUGAUUCUGUAACAUAAACUACACUAUCUAGAAGACUAUUGUCUCUGUUAACAUUAAACUGACAUUUGCCUUAUCACAUGAAUGUUAUUUCAUCACUGUACCAAAUUUUAAGACUAGGGCAUGAGCAUUUAAUUUGAAUGACCUGUCAGUUUUAUGUAACUUACAUUUACUUAAAUCAUUCUUGCCUAAAUAAUCUUUUUGUGCAUGUGUAUGUGGCAAGGGUCAAGUACAAAGAACUCUUCUGCUGAGGUUUUCAAGUAGCAAAGUUAUUUAGUCCUAGUAAUGGACUAAAGUAAGCACUUCGCAAAAAGUCUCAGCCCUCUGAGCUAAAAGAGAUUAAGUAGUUUGAUAUCUUCUCUCCUGAUCUUGUUAGAAACUGCCACUUUAUCUUAGCAUGAGAGCAAUACUGUGGGGAAUGAUUUGUGUGGCAAUGUGUUAUGGUUUAACCUCAUACAGCAACUAAGUCCUGCAAAACUACUCACUCACUCCCCCCACAUUGGAUUGGACAGAGAAUUGGAAAAGUGAGAAAGCUUGUGGGUUGAGAUAAAGUCUGCUGAAUAAGUAAAGCAAACCCCAUGCAUGUGAGCAAAGCAAAGCGAGGAAUUAAUCUACUACUUCCUAUAGCUGGCAGGUGUGCAGCCAUCUCCAGAAAAGCAAGACUCCACCAUGCAUAAUGGUGACUUGGGGAGGCAAAUGCCAUUACUCCAAACAUGACCCCCUUCCUCCAUCUUCUCCUGGCUUUAUAUGCUGAGCACAAUGCCAUAUGGGAUUGGUCAGUUGGAGUCAGCUGUCCUGGCCAUGUGUCCUCCCAACUCAUUGUGCACUCCCAGACUCCUUCCUGUUGGGGUGGGGUGAGAGGCAGAACAUACCCUGACUUUACUGUAAGCCCAGCUCAACAGUGACUGAAACAUCCCAGUAUUAUCAACACUGUUUCCAGCACAAAUCCAAAACAUAGCCCUGUACUCUACCCCAGCCAAAAUCAGCACAUUCUCUACCACUUAUUCCAUACCAUUUAUAUCAUGGUCAGGUCCCACACUAUGCAACACAUCUUCCAUAACAAUCCUGCUGUCUUCCCAUCCUUUGAUACACAGAUAUCAUUCCCAUAGCCUGUGGACCACCCCUGCAUGUAAAUGCAUGUAAAAUGUCUACAAAUGUCCACUGAGUUAAUUUAGUCCAUGACUUCAGGCUCCAUCUGUUAUGGUGGUAGCUCAGGAUAAGUGAGGUGGUGUGUUGCAUGGAGUUACUGGGCACCAAAGGCAGCUUGGGCUGGUCACUGCUGCACUUGCACUGCUCCUUGCAAGGCUUGUCCUGCACUAAUUCAGGUGGUUCCUGCUGAUAGCAAGAAGCACAGUACUACAGUGAGCAGUGAAAGUAAAAAUCAGCCACUAAUGAGCACUGGGCUCAUUACAAUCAUACAGUCAGUCAAGCAAGCCCCAUGGCAAGCACAGGAGCCUGUCAAUUAAUAGCUAAACAGCAAGAACAGCUGUAAAUUCAGUCUAGCACGUUUCAAUCUGCCAUUAUCUGGAACCCUUCGAGCCCCACACUGGGAAUCAAAAAGGAUUUUAUGGGUUUAAUCCCAGUUGGCAUGUAAGCACCACCCAGGACGGGGGAGAGAACUGGAAGAGUAUAAAUGAAGAAAACUCCUGGAUUCAGAUAAGCGCAGCUUGAAAAAUUAACUCUAUCCCAGUCAAAACCACCACACAACGAAUACCCGACUGAAAUAACAGAGUUUCUCAAAAUGAGGUCAUUGUAGGUGUCAGCCCUUAAAAGGUUUUCAGCUCUGCAGAAGUACAAGUAGAAGAAACCAGCUGCUUGCAAGGCUCAUAUCAUUCAAUGUAAGUGAAUGAACUGCGAAUAUGCAGAGCUAGCUCUUUACCAAGAAAAUAUUAAAGUGAUUUUACUUGUUAGAAAAAUAUCCAUCUUAAAUUCAUGGCAUUUUUGUAAGGUUACAGUGCUUGGGUUUACCCAGGAAGAUUGCUUUGAGUAGCAACCAAGUGUAAGCUUUACGCUGUAAAGUAAUACUAAUAUAAUGUCAAAAAGUGCUGAGGUUGGUAUGAUGUAUGUGAGAGACAUACAUGUGAGAUUAGCCUGUAAAAUUCAGAUGCUGUAGUGCGUAAAGAAAAACUGGAUCAGAGAAGGCUAGGGAAUAAAAAAGAAUUGGUAAAGGUGAAAGUUUAUGUAUAGAAAGUAUAUAUAUGUUUUGAUAUGUAUCUAAAUCUUCCCCUUAGCUUGCCACUGUAGUUAACAUCUUACCUUGCUAUGCCAUGUUAGAAACCUAAAGAGUAUUAGCAUGCCAUGACAGGUCAUGAGCUAAAGUUGGUCUCGUGGCUAUAUUUUAUUCCUUGAUGGAGAGCAACUGCUUUGGCUUAGUGAUGAAGAGGUAUUAACUCAUACCAGUGUUUGCUUUCUGUUGAGUGAACACUGAACCUCUCAAAGGAAAAUUUGAGAGUUUGACAGGACAGAAAUAUGUUUACCCUCUGCUCUUUUGAAUAACCCAGCUCUUGCUCCAUGCACCACAGACAUCUUAAUAAUCCCUGUCUUCACCAGUCAGGAGUUGGGUCUAGAAAACACUAUUCUUAGGACCUAAUCCUCGUAUGCCUCUUUAAAAUGAAUGUUCAAAUUCACAGAAUCAGAAUGUUCAAAACACUGAAACAUGCAGCAGGAUAACACUUCAUUUUCCUCAUAAAAAAAAGCAAACCCUUCUUGAUUUGAUGUAAGUAUAGACUUCAAAAUCACUUUGCUUUAAAUCAUGAGUUUGCACUUCUGGAAAAUCAGAUGUUCCUUUUUUUUCUAUAUAAGGUGGAAGAUUUUGUUCCUCUUCUCCCCUUCUUUUAUUUUCCUACUUUGCAUCUUCUUAAUCAGUGAGCCUUAGUCCUGUUGUGUUUUCUGAGGAGUGAAUGUUCUAGUGUAGCAAUGGUGCUUAAUAUCUGUACCAAAGCUUAAGCCAACCCGAACAUUUGCAUCUAAGAUGUAUGAGGUUCCUGAUCUAGGUACUAUUUUAAUCAUGGCGCUGCUUUCACAAUCAUUUUACUAAACUAUUAAGAGAGAAAGAGAAUCAUUAGGAAUGACUCUCAGGAAUCUGAUAAAAAACCCACUCUAAAACAUUGUGUAAGGCACAACAUUUGUUUUAAAUAAAGGGAAAUCCUACCAUGACAAUAUUGUGAUUAAAAUGCCAAGAAAAUGGUUUAAUAAACAUCAGAGACAUCAUGGGUAACUCUUGCUUUAAUGAUCACUGAUUAAUUAUCAUGUGGUGCUUAUGCUUAAUGUUUUUUGGACAAAUUAGAAAUUCUGCCUCAGGCCACCAGACACUGCACUUCCAGUACUGCACAAAAUGGAUGUGUGCUAAAGAAUGACAGGAUUUGGAUCAAAAUGCUGAAAGCAAGCCAAUACAACUGCAGAUGCUUGCUCUGUAAAUUGUCCCAGGGGCAUCAUCUGCAGGAGGAAAUUAAAGGUUUUCAAUUGCCCCACAGCACAGCUGUACCAGUAGUUUGUGUGAGAGUCACAUGGUAGGCACAGAAGACACAUUUUAAUUCUACAGUCUCUCACCUUCUUUGGAUAAGGUUAGAGGCUGGAGCUAAACAUCCCUGCAUUUCAGUUGUGGCACCUUGCUUUUGAGAGAUUGCCAGCACAUGCAGCUAAUGCAGUAGUACAUACAUUUGUGUGCACUAAGGCACUUCUUGAGCAGUAGAAGAGCUCAAACAGAGCAACUUAGGUGCUGUUCCUGAUAGAUCUUGUGCAGUCUGUGCUACUAACUCUUCAUAGCUUGUUCUGAAGCUUAUUAAGUUGACAGUAUUUUCUCUCCUGAUUUUUCACUGGUAUUGUGCUUUACAGCACUACCUAAAGUUUUGCAAAAUAUUCAGAAUGAAAUCAGCAAAAUGCAUAUGCCAAAUUGAGAUAUUAGUCUGAUAAACUGAGGGUGCAACUUAUUUACACAUCUGGAGACCAAAAACCUAUGCUUAGUCUAUAGCCAUAUAGAUUUUUCCUCACUCCCAUAAAACUUAGUCUCAAAUUCUAAUUCUGCGAGCCAUUUUUAACCCUGUGAAUAUCAACACAAGUUCUUCUGUUUUCUUACCAUGUAGUUAUAAUGCAUAAUAACCUUUAAUGAGCAAUAAACCUUUAGCCUUUAAUUUUCAAUGGGCAGAGUUCAAACUGUAGUUCUGUUCUCUCAAAUAUUUUAGCAAAGAUUACUGUCUUAGUGUGGCAAGCUCCCCUGGCUGCAUCUCCUCAGUAAUCUUUCUUUCUUAAGAAAGAGAAAUAAGGUCUUAAGUACUUCAUGUAACUAAAGCCUCUGUUAAAUCAUUUUGGCAUAUUAAGAAUAGAUCAGGAGAAAAGUGAAACUCUUUUUCAGCUCUGUUAUAAUCUGAAUUAUUCUAUCCCUACACUUACCAUUGACCAAUGAUCCUUUUCCUUCCCUUAGGGUGUUUUCAGUGAUGAUCUUUUUCUGAUGAGAAAAAACAAUACCUUUUCAAAGAGCAGGUCACUUUGAGGGCACACAGGCUAUGUUUAUGUUAUUUUACUUGGACACAUAUUCCUUUUGUCACUGGGAUUUACAGCACAGCUCUGUGUUUAGUCUUAAGUGACUGCACACCAGUUUUCCCUGAAGGAAAGAAUAAAUGAUUACUGCUGGAGCUGCCCAGCUCUGGUCCUUCCAGAUGGUGUUAACCAGAGAUACACAGCUUGGGUAGCUCGGGACAUGCUGAGCUACCCAGUGGUUUCAAACUGAGCAAGUGCAAUAUUUUUUGAGCCUAAAAGCUGUGAGUUUUUCUGCAGGGCGACAUUAUCCAGCACAGACAUAGAUAGUACUGUCUACCUCCUGCAGGUUGCCAAAAGCAAGCAUGCACUUGCUGGCAAAGGAUAGUAAGCAACUUAUCAGUUACUCAAUAAGGACCACAACUUUCCUCAUAUGAAAAUUUCAGAGGUUUCAUACAAGCAUCUUAUUCAAAUGUCAUCAGUGCUUCAGCUGAAAAGCCCUCUUCUGUCUGUACCUCAGUCGGAGGUACAGUCACAGGACAACAGGAUAAGAACCUCUUUGUCACAAGCAAGGGUUGCAGUCCAGCACAUCCUUCUUUUAUGUCUGAGUUACCCAAUCACCUCAAUUGAUUUAAUGUGUCUCUGUGAAGGUUAUUUGUCACUUAGAGCAAUUUAUCCUCAGGUGCUUUGCAGAUCUACUCCAGUAAUUUGCUGUUAAUUAAUUGUUUACUUAUAUAAUGUUGUAAAUAAAGGGAAAGUGAGGGAAUCCCAUUCAGGUUCCUAAAUAAAAGCCAACUGUUAGGCCAUAUUUACCCUCACUAACUCCUGUUUUUAUAGCUAUAGCGUUGUGAAAGGCUUUGGCUAUUGCUAUUAUAUUUUUUAUUAAAAUCCAGAUGUUUAACAAGGUAACAAUAAGAUCUACUGAGCACUCCUGGCAUGCUGGUUUUAGCUCAUAAAUCAUGAAAUGGUUUGGAUUGGAAGGGACCUUAAGGAUCAUCUAGUUCCAACAUUCCUGCUGUGGAACAGGGACACAUUCCACUAGAUCAGGUUGCUCAAAGCCCCAUCCAACCUGGCCUUGAACACUUCCAGAGAUGGGGCAUCCACAAGUUCUCUGGGCAACCUGUUCUAGUGCCUUACCACCUAGACAGGGAAUAAUUUCAUUCUAAUGUGUAAUCUAAACCUACACUGUUUCAGGUUAGAGCCAUUACCCCUUGCCCUAUCACUUCAUGUCUUUGCAAAAAGUACCUCUCCAGCUCUCUAGUACCUUUAGGUGCUAGAAGGUUGCUAGAAGGUCUUCCUGAAGCCCUUUCUUCUCCAGGCUGAACAGCAUCAACUCUCUCAGCCUUUUCUCAUAGGAGAAGAGUUCUGUUCAUUCUGAUCAUUUUUGUGUCCAUCAUCUAGUCUCACUCCAGAAGGUCCACGUUCUUAUGCUGGGGGUCCCGGAGCUGGACACGGUACUCCAGGUGGGGUCUCAUAAGGGGGAGAAUCAGCUUCUUCAAUCUGCUGGUCACACUCCUUCUGAUGCAGCCCAGGCUUUCUGGGCUGCAAGUGUACAUUGCUUGGUCAUGUUGAGCUUCUGGUCAACCAACAACCCCAAAUCCUUCUCCUCAGGACUGUUUAAAAUGCAUUUAAAGCUAUUACUUUACAAGUGCAUCCAUCAGGUUAGAUCAGUAUGUUUUCCUCCAAAACUGCUUUCUAUGUGUCAAAAAAGAAUAGAGACCUCUGUAGGUGUAAGAAACUGGGAACAAAUAUCAAUGCUUUGAAUAGCCUCCUUUUCUACAAUAUUUCCUUAGUCUGUAAUGUUAAUGUUUAAAUAUUUGUAUCUUUGUAAUCUUGAAUUUAUUCCAUUAAAGAUCAUACCUUUCUUUUCUCA
Pseudopipra pipra is the source of this 15683-nucleotide long non-coding RNA. RefSeq lists it as uncharacterized. The record is from RefSeq and is a predicted model, not a curated record. The transcript is spliced from 2 exons. NCBI's taxonomy places the organism in Eukaryota, Metazoa, Chordata, Aves, Passeriformes, Pipridae.